Long non-coding RNA from Raphanus sativus (radish), 1394 nucleotides. RefSeq lists it as uncharacterized. The record is from RefSeq and is a predicted model, not a curated record. The transcript has 5 exons. NCBI's taxonomy places the organism in Eukaryota, Viridiplantae, Streptophyta, Magnoliopsida, Brassicales, Brassicaceae.
UCUCUAUCUAUCUAUUUAUACAACUCAACUUUUAUUUUCUCUCCAUCGAACUUCAUAAAACUCUCUCGACAAUCCAUCCGAUAAAAUCCACAGUUAAAUCUCAAGUUCCCAGCGAUCACAAGGCAACCGACAAGACCCCUGCCUCUUCCGCAGUUACAAGGAAACCGACCAUGAAGAACGCUUUCUUCUGCGAUUGUGAUCAACUGUAAAGGCAAGACCGCCGUCUGGGUUAUUACCAGUGGUUUGAACUCAGGUUAUGUUAGCAUCAAGUCUCACUCAUUUCUUAAUGUUUUAACAGGCUGAUCAGGUGAAGACAAACAUAUUGCCCUUCUCAGGUUUUGUUUGGCAUGGAAAUAUGGUGGGCAACUUCACACAUGAAGAUCAAUUUUUAAUGAAAAGUCAAAAGAAAAGACAAAAGAAAAGUUUGAUAAAUGCAUCAAAGAGAAGCUGUUGGCGUUUUGCGAUUUGUUUGACAUACAUGUUACAAAGGUUGUUCAAAGAUCUAACCACCCAAGCCGGCAGGAGUAAGGCUUUCUGUCUGACUGAGAAGGGUUGAUCUUGGCAUUGAUUAAUUGCUUUGGUGAUAUAGUUAUUCUGCACGACGACGUAUAUGCUUUCUGCUGCAGCUUCGUUCUGUUAUAUGACUUCACAAAAAUAUUGUAGGCAGCUCAAAAGAAUUUCACGACGGAGCUUGAGAGUUAAGAAAGAGGCUGAACGCAGUAUUUGAUGUCAUCAAUGGUGGGGAUUCAGCCUUACACUUAUUAUCUUGAAAAUGGAUCUUCUAGAUAUCUUUCUGCGGAAGCAGUUCAAAGCUUUAGGGCAGCUGUUAACACCUCGAGCCGGUUAUGUUAUUGUUUCACUUGAGAGAAACUUAUUUGUAUUUGGAGGGUUUACGGAUUCUCAGAAUCUUUGAAAUUUUAGUAUAGUUUUUGGUGAUGAUUUGUAACGGUGAAAUAUGGCUUCAAUUGCUUUAUCGGUCUUCUGAUUUCAAAAUAAAAUAUUACUAUUGGUUUGUCAUGAUAGAAAUGGGUAUAUUUCCAAGGUAGUUGCCAUUUAAGGAGGGUCAUCAGCUACAUUUGGUGAUGCAGCAGUUUUUUAACGUCCUUACACUGCAUGUUCCUUUUUCUUUGUUAUGGCUGCAAUAAGAAUCUUGAGCCGUUGAAUGACAUCUACUACGCACCUAAGCACAUGUUUCUCUCGACCUUUCCGUUGGUUAUAACACAUUUCCUUUUGUGCAAGGUUGCUAAUUGCAGACCAAAUCUUCUUUGCUUAUGGCCAUCAGAUCGUGUCCGUAAGGAAACAAAUGAAGCUAAAUUUCUGAGAGCAGAAAUUAGUUGUGGCUGGAACCAGCAUUGAUGAGUGUGUGUUGUUAACUUUUACGACUGAAAAUAGAG